Molecule: long non-coding RNA, 8824 nt
Filed under: Hordeum vulgare
Lineage: Eukaryota; Viridiplantae; Streptophyta; Magnoliopsida; Poales; Poaceae
Description: long non-coding RNA (HVUL_LNC015090)
Rfam family: MIR9662 microRNA precursor family (bases 7559-7658)
Source: RNAcentral
CAGAUAGUAUCUCUAUUGGCAAGCUGAAUAGUAACAUCAAUAGGUUCCAUCUCGACAGGUGCAGUCUCGUCUUUAAUUUCAUCAUAUAAAGACCGAGGUAUUGCACUAACACUAGCACCCACGUCACAUAAACCAUGAUAACAAUGAUCUCCAAUCUUAACAGAAACAACAGGCAUGCCAACAACAGGCUUAUGUUUGUCUCUAGCAUGAGGUUUAGCAAUUCUAGCACCAUCUUCACAUAAGUGAAUAACAUGCCCAUCAACAUUGUUGGACAGGAGAUCUUUUGAUAAUAGCAAUGCUAGGUUCAACUUUAAUUUGCUCAGGGGGUGUAGGUGUUCUAAUGUAGCCCUUACAUAUCACAGUUGAAGCUUUAGCAUGAUCCUUUAUUCUAACAUGGAAAGGUGGUUUCUCAAUGUAAGCACUAGGAACAAUAGGAUCAUUAUAAGCAAUGACUUUCUCUUCAACUGGAUUGGGUUUAACUACAUUGACUUCUAUGGGAGGAUGAUAUUUAAACCACUUCUCUUUAGGGAGAUUAAUAUGAGCAGAAAAUGAUUCACAUAAUGAAGCUACCAUCUCAUAGUCAAGUCCAUGUUUAGCGCUAAAAUCACAAAAAGUAUUUGUUUCAACAAAGGAUUUAACGCAAUCGAACUUAAGAUUCAUACCUUACUCCUUACCUUCAUCAAACUCCCAAUCUUCAGAGUUGCAUUUAAUUCUUUCCAAUAAAUUCCAUUUGAAGUCAAUAUCUCUCUUCAUAAAAGAACCAGUACAAGAAGUGUCAAGCAUGGUGCGAUUAUCAUGAGAAAGCCGAGCAUAAAAGUUCUGAAUAAUAAUUUCUCUCGAGAGCUCAUGGUUAGGGCAUGAAUAUAACAUUGACUUAAGCCUCCCCCAAGCUUGAGCGAUACUUUCUCUAUCGCGAGGCCAAAAAUUAUAAAUAUAAUUCCGAUCACGAUGUACCAGAUGCAUAGGAUAAAACUUUUGAUGAAAUUCCAAUUUCAAUCGGUUGUAGUUCCAUGAUCCAGUAUCAUCACAUAGCCUAUACCAUGUCAAUGCUUUAUCCCUCAAAGAUAAGGGAAAGACCUUCUUCUUGGCCUCAUCCUCGGGCAAACCUGUAAGCUUAAAUAAACCACAAACUUCAUCUACAUAGAUUAGAUGCAAGUCGGGAUGUGAUGUUCCAUCUCCUGUAAAAGGAUUAGCCAACAAUUUCUCUAGCAUACCCGAAGGAAUUUCAUAAUAAAUAUUUUCAGUAGGUGCAGUAGGUUGAGGAGCAACUCCUUGUGGUUACGGUCGAGGUGAAGAUACCCCGAACAAGCUCUUCAAAGGAUUAGUUUCCAUAGUGACAAGUGAUAAUAAAUUUCAGCACACUAUAUAAAUGUUUCCUUACCAAAUUCCACUUACCAAAGGCGCUUCACUCCCCGACAACGGCGCUAGAAAAGAGUAUUGAUGACCCACAAGUGUAGGGGAUCUAUCGUAGUCCUUUCGAUAAGUAAGAGUGUCAAACCCAACGAGGAGCAGAAGGAACUGACAAGUGGUUUUCAACAAGGUAUUCUGUGCAGGCACUGAAAUUAUCGGUAACAAAUAGUUGUGUGAUAAGAUAAUUCAUAGCGAGUAGCAAGUAACAAUAGUAACAAAGGUGUAGCAAGAUGGCCCAAUCCCUUUUGUAGCAAGGGACAAGCCUGGACAAACUCUUAUAUGAGGUAAAGCGCUCCCGAGGACACAUGGGAAUUUUUGUCAAGCUAGUUUUCAUCAUGUUCAUAUGAUUCGCGUUCGCUACUUUGAUAUUUUGAUAUGUGGGUGGACCGGUGCUUGGGUGCUUCCCUUACUUGGACAAACAUCCCACUUAUGAUUAACCCCUCUCGCAAGCAUCCGCAACUACGGAAGAAGAAUUAAGACAAAGUCUAACCAUAGCAUUAAACUAGUGGAUCCAAAACAGCCCCUUACGAAACAACGCAUAAACUAGGGUUUAAGCUUCUGUCACUCUAGCAACCCAUCAUCUACUUAUUACUUACCAAUGCCUUCAUCUAGGCCCAAAUAAUGGUGAAGUGUCAUGUAGUCGACGUUCACAUAACAACACUAGAGGAAAGACAACAUACAUCGCAUAAAAAUAUCGAACGAAUACCAAAUUCACAUGACUACUUAUAGAAAGACUUAUCCCAUGUCCUCAGGAACAAAAGUGACUACUCACAAAGCAUAAUUAUGUUCAUGACCAGAGAGGUAUUGAAUAGCAUUAAUGAUCUGAACAUAUGACCUUCCACCGAGUAAUCCAACUAGCAUCAACUACAAAGAGUAAUUAACACUACUAGCAACCUUACAAGUACCAAUCGGAGUCGCGAGAUGGAGAUUGGUUACAAGAGAUGAACUAGGGUUUGGAGAUGAGAUGGUGCUGAUGAAGAUGUUGAUGGAGAUGAGUCCCCUCCGAUGAGAGGAGUGUUGGUGAUGAUGAUGGCGACGAUUUCGCCCUCCGGGAGGGAAGUUUCCCCGGCAGGACGACCCUGCAAGAGCUCUAGAUUGGUUCUGCUCAAGUUACGCCUUGUGGCGGCGGCGUCUCUUCCCAAAAGCCUCCUCCUGAUUUUUUCUAGGACGAAACCCUCCUUAUAGCCGAAGAUGGGAGCAGAAGGGGUAACAGGGGGCCCGCAAGCCACCGAGGCGCGACCAGGGGGGUAGGCCGCGCCUGGCAGGCUUGUGCCGCCCUGGUGGCUCCCCUCCAGUACUUCUUCCGCCCAAUAUUUUUUAUAAAAUCCAAAAUAAUUCCUCAUUGAUUUUCACGGCUUUUGGAGUUGUGCAGAAUAGGUAUCUCAAACUUGCUCCUUUUUCAGCCCAGAAUCCCAGCUGUCGGCAUUCUCCCUCUUCAUGUAAACCUUAUAAAAUAAGAGAGAAAAGGCAUAAGUAUUGUACCAUAAUGUGUAAUAACAGCCCAUAAAGCGAUAAAUAUCAACAUAAAAGCAUGAUGCAAAAUGGACGUAUCAGGAUCUCAGGCAAGAUGACCAUUUCCCCAGAUACCAUUACUAUCAUUGCCAUGCUAGUUUAUCGUUUCUACCGCUAUGUCUCGUUGCCUACCACCUGUUAAAUAUCAGCCUCCCAACAUUGCCAUGAAAACCUUCCACCCGUUCACAACCUAGCAAACCACUGUUUGGCUAUGUUACCGCCUGCUUAACCAUGUGUUAGCGUUGCUAGAUGUAGGUGCAAUUGUUUCCAUGUGAUAACAUGGGUUCCUUGUCAUAUCACCAUAUUAAUGCUAUUUAAUUUAAUGCACCUAUAUACUUGGUAAAAGGUGGAAGGCUCGACCUUUCUAGCCUAGUGUCUUGUUCCACCUUUGCCCCCUUAGUUUCGGCUACCGGUGUUAUAUUCCAUAAUUGAGUGCUCCUAACACGAUCGAGGUUGUUAUGGGGACCCCCUUGAUAAUUCGUUUUAGAUUAAAGCUGGUCUGACAAGGCCCAACCUUGUUUUUUCAUUCACCUAAUAACCUAAUAAAAUUGCAUAGGGACUUUCCGGACCCCGAGGAUAAUUAAUCAACCCCCGAGCCAGUGCUCCUCAUGAGUGUUGGUCCCACCUGAGCGAUGUCCGGCGCCCCCUGGUCACCCAGGGUUUAGCCAACCAGACGUCUAGCUCAUCCGUCGUGUCCUGAGAACGAGAUACGCGGCUCCUACCUGGUUCGUCGACACGACAGGCGGCCUUGCUGGAUUAGUUUUACCUUUGACGAAUGUCUUGUGCAUCAGGAUUCCGGUGAUGCUUUGGGUAAUCUCAAUGCUGAGGUUUUCCACUAAGGAGUCCGACGAGAUCGCGAGCUUCGUGAUUGAGGAUUUCUAUGCGUCUUGUGGUAAUUUGCGAUGGACUAGUUGGAGCACCCCUGCGGGGUUAAAUCUUUUGGAAAGCCGUGCCCGUGGUUAUGUGGCAACGUGGAAACUUUGUUUAACACUGGUUCUAGACAACUUGAAGUUAACUUAAUUAAAAUAUGCCAACUGAGUGCGUAACCGUGACUGUCUCUUUCGUGAGCUCCUUCUCCGAUCGAGGACACUAUGGGGAUAUGUUUGACGUAAGUAGGUGUUCAGGAUCAUUCCUUUGAUCAUCAUUAGCUCACGUCCGCUAUGCGUAGAUCACCCCCCUCUUUAUUCUCGUACGCGUAAGUUAGCCACCAAAUAUAUGCUUAGUCGCUUGCUGCAGCCUCACCACUUAACCAUACCUCACCUAUUAAGCUUUGCUAGUCUUGAUACCUUUGGAAAUGAGAUUACUGAGUCCCCUGUGGCUCACAGAUUACUAUAACACCAGUUGCAGGUACAUGUAAAGAUUACUUGAUGCGAGCGCGUUGAUUGUUCAUUUGGAGGUGCUUCUUCUUCUUCUUCUUCAUCGAUCUAGGAUGGGCUCCAGGCCGGCAGCCUGGGAUAGCAAGAAUGGACGUCGUUCUUUUCUCGUUUGUUUUUAUCCGUAGCCGGACCCUGCUCUUCUUCGUGAUAUUUAUGUAUUGUAUUGAUGUGACUCUGAUGUAGCUUGUGGAGAGUGUAAGCCAAUUCCAUAUAUCUCAUCUUUUCAGUACAUGUACUUGUAACGAUAUCCAUUCUUGCGAAACGACGAGAUGCGCUUCUAUCCCUGAAGAGGCCCUCGUGCCAAAUUAAGGAUAGGGUCGCAUCUUGGGCAUUACAGGUCACGCUUAGGUUCAAAAGAUGUGCCCUCGAUGAUCCGAAGGACAGUCUACAAAGCACCGAAGAAGAGGUGAAGAUUGAAGACACGACCAAAAAGGAGUAUUGUCAUCGAGCUACAGACGAGCUGACGACAGUAAAGACGGUCCACCAAAUGCUGCAAGGGACGACAAAGGCCAUGCCAAUGAUAACAGUUAUGAGAAGCAGCAAUCGUGUUUGGUACCCAAGUCGGAAGUAAGGACAUCGUGAUUAGGGGGUGAAUGUGAGUUAAUCACGUUGCCCUGUACACAUAGGAUUAGGAAAGAAAGUCAAACCGAGUCCUAGUAGUAUUAGGAUACCUAGUCCUAGUCUAUUUUCAUAGUCCCUUGUGGAUGUGUAUAAAAGGCACCCUAGGGGUGAUGCUUGUAACACCAGAAAAACGAAAAAGCAAUACAAAGUUUAACAGGCUCGAUACGAGCCUGCGGCCAUCGAUCAGUUUUUCCGUCGCCCCGUCGCCGAAGACGUACGUCGUUCCGAUUCGCCGCUGAUCGAGCUAGCCAGUUGCACUAUAACGGCGACGUGCACAAGCUACUAAUCCAUCCAGCAGCUUGCGUGCUUGGUUGUAUAGCUAGCUUUGCACGUACGUUGUAUAGCUCUGGGUAGUUUUGAUCUACGGUUUAAAAGCCAACAAUGGGUAGCUUACAUGCCAAGCUAUAUGUAGCUUGGGAGCUAGGCUAUGCUCGUCCCCUGGGGCACUUUAUAAACCAGCGCCCAGGGGACAAGUUACAUUGUAGAUGAAGUUGCAUGGGACGUCGUAGUUGACUCCGGACAGCCGUCUGGCUGGCACACCUGGCUGGUCGGAGCAGCCGGUCGUGGGCAGGAAUGGGAGCAGCCGGCCCGGGAGAGCAAGCACCCCGUCCGACUCUCCGUCUUUGGGGUACCCGGGGAUCAUUCCCCCGGCAAUGAUGAUGAUUUGUGAGUAGUUACUUCGUUACUGAGGACAUGGGAUAAGUCUUGUUAUAAGUAAUCAUGUGAUGUUGGUAUCUAUUUAAUAUUUUUGAUGAUGUGUAUGUUGCUCUUCCUUUAGUGGUGUAACGUCAACUACAUGACACUUCACCAUAUUUCAGAAUAAGGAAAAGUUUGGGGAGUAAUAAGUAGAGGAUGUGUUGCGAGAGUGACAAAGCUUAAAACCUAGUUUAUGCGUUAUUCCAUAAGGGGGCUGAUUCGGAUCCAUAUGUUUCAUGUUGUGGUUAGAUUUAUCUUAAUUCUUCUUUCGUAGUUGGGGAUGAUUGUGAGAGGGGGUAAUUGUAAGAGGAUUGUUUGUUCAAGUAAGAACAACACCCUAGCACCGGUCCAUCCACAUAUCAAAUUAUCAAAAUAUCGAAUGAGAAUCAAUUAAACACGAUGAACGUGACUAGACCACAAUUCCCAUAUGUCCUCGAGAGCGUUUUACUUCAUAAGAGAAUUUCAGGCUUGUCAUUUGCUAUAAAAAGGAUUGGGCCACCUUGCCGCACCUUAGUUACAAUUUUUACUUUUCACUUGUUACGAAAUGCACUACUAUCAAACUAUCUGUUACCGCUACUCUGAGUGCUUGGAGGAAUUACCUUGCUGAAAAUCACUUGUCAUUUUCUUGUGCUCCUCGUUCGGUUAGACACUUUUACUUAUCAGAAGGACUACGAUUGAUUUCCUAUACUUGUGGGUUGUCAUCCCCUUGCUUUGCAUCCGCAUCUUCAUUGUCGAUUACCGGUUAUGUACCUCUCCGGUCACUGCGAGGGCAUCCUCGGACGUCUACAAUCCUGCCCAUGGUCAUGUCAGCCUUGGUCUAGGAUUGCUAGGUUUACCUCGCGCGGCGCACGAUGACCCGCUCAAAGUGACACGCUGCUGGCCUCGAGCCUCCUGCGGCCGGCUGACUCAUCCCACUCAUCGAAGGUUGUUUCCAGCUCCCACAUGAGCCACGAAGGGGAACCCUAUAUGGCACACGAGGUGUUCGUAUGGGCCAGCCAUUUUCCUUUUUUUCCUUUUAUUUUUUUUCUUUUCUUUUUCUCUUUUUGUUCUUUACUUUUCACUUUUUGGUGAAAUUUCUUUUCAAAUUCACAACAAUUUUUGUUCAUUGAAUUCAAAAAAAUGUUCAUCGAUAUUAAAAAUUUGUUCAUUCGAUUAUAAAAAUGUUCAUCAAAUUCAAUUAAAAAAAUUCAUACAUGUUUCAGAAACAAUGUCCAUCAAGUUCAAAAUUUGUGCACGAAAUACAAAAUAAUUUUCAUCAUUAUAAAAAAUAUUCAUUCUAUUGAAAUCAAAAACAUUUUUGAAUUUGAGAAGUAUUUUCAACAAUUCAAAAUUCACAUUUUUUUUGAAAUUUUAGAACCUUUUUGUAAUCCUGAAUUAUUUUAACAUCGAAUAAAACAAAACCAGAAAGUUUAAAAAGUAAAGUAAAAACGAAAAAAAAAAACAGGGGCGUCCAGCCCCGGAAAUAGGCCGGCCUAAACAGGGCGUCCAGUCCAGCUAUGGAUGCGCUUCGCCGCGGAGAGCACGGACCGUGUAUUCUUGGAACUCCACGCCUGCCGUGUAGAACCACAAGGGCCAUAUCGAACUGGUUUUCUUGAGCCCGAAGUUCGCCCACCCCUAUAUACAUUAGCCAGCGCACCACCCCUACGCAUCACCAAACCCUCCUCGCGAUCGACCGAGCGCCGCCGCCACACCCUCCCAGAUCUCAGAUCCCAUCUCUGCUCUUCCCCAUCCACUACCUCCACCCCACCCCACCCCGGCCUUAUCGCCGCGCCCCGCGCCCGAGCGCCUCCCGUCAGCCGCCGCGCCCGUUUCUCCAGACCCCGCUGACGACGCCGCUCACCACCUUCCGCGGCUACCCCCGUCCUCGAGCCCUCCACCUCAGUCGGGCCGUGUCUCCUUCUGCUGGAUCGCGUCCGGAUGACGGGCGCCGUCUGCCGGUUUUGUCGCGGAGCCCGGCGGCUCUGUGGUGUUCAAGCAGGAACCUCAUGCUACCGGCAGCAUGCGGCGCUUGCUUGAACAUCCCAGAGCCACCGGCGUGCCAAAAUUCACGCAGAAGGAGAUCGAUCUCUCGAGGAGAGAUCCGCCGCCAAGCUGGAGUACGUGAACGUCUUCUUCAAGUGCUUCACUUUUUUCUUUUCUUGCGGAGAACCCCCAAUACCGUGUUUAUCCUCAACGGAGGUGAGGCCCGUUAUCUUCAAUUCUGCAUUGUAGGCUGUUGUAUCCUCAUUGUGUUUUAUGUUUUGCUGCCGGUGCAUAUGAUAAGUAUAUGCUGUAUGCACAUACUAGCUUGUUAUUCAGUGUAAUACUAGCUUGUUAUUCAGUGUAGGCAUGUGCGUUCGGGCAGAUGAUGGUUUGCUCACAGUGUGCGUUCUAAAACGAACAUUUAUAAUUUAAUGGAUUUGUUGGCCUGAUAAUUGUAUUUUUUAAUCCCGACACGCCAUUGUUUUUCAGUAGGGAAGAAAAUGUCAAAUUAUGGAUACUAUACUUUGUGGUGGGGUUACCCAUUGUAUUUCGGGCGGCUAAUAAUACUCAAUUUUGUGUGUGUAAAAAUGUGGUUUUUAUGUAAAUACAUUUUUUAACUGGAAUGUCAGGUUUGAAGAUUCCACAUGGUAGUUGGUAGCAUUACUCAUAAGUCAGAAGAGUGAUUCAUUUGAAUCUGUUGCAGCUAUGGUAAUUAUAUUUGUAUUGCACUAACCAGUUGACUUCUUGCUAUCCUUGCUUGGUUGAAGUAUGCCUCUAUUGUCUUGGUAUACCAGCUCUACCUUUUUGCAUAAUGUUAAUACUUAAGCAUACAGUUCUGUACUCCCUUUGCAGAACACUAUUGAGCCGUUUUCUGUGAUUACAUAAUAUCGUAUUUGCUGUAGUUGAUUUUAAAGUGGAGGAAAUCAAUGGCGAUGAUGAUAAUACUUAGGCUUGUUUCUCAAAACAUUCGCAGUUGCCGCCUAAGAGCUUUCGCCCUGCCAGGCUUGAGAGCUAAUGCUGCUAAUUCCUUCCUUGGAUGUCUGAGCCAUGUUGAUUUUACUAAUUUGAAUCUUUCUUGUUUCUGCUUUAUAUUCUUUUUUAAGAGGUUAUUUUUGUGAUUAUACUUGCUUUAUGUGCUUUACCAUAAUAUAUUUUUGCCUCACAUAUUUGAAUUUGGGGGAGAUCAAUGGCGAUGAUGAUAAAACUUAGGCUUGUUUCUCAAAACAUUUGCAGUUGCCGCCUAAGAN